AGCGGCGGAUGGGUGAGUAACACGUGGGGAACCUGCCCCUAAGUCUGGGAUACCAUUUGGAAACAGGUGCUAAUACCGGAUAAUAAAGCAGAUCGCAUGAUCAGCUUUUGAAAGGCGGCGUAAGCUGUCGCUAAGGGAUGGCCCCGCGGUGCAUUAGCUAGUUGGUAAGGUAACGGCUUACCAAGGCGACGAUGCAUAGCCGAGUUGAGAGACUGAUCGGCCACAUUGGGACUGGGACACGGCCCAAACUCCUACGGGAGGCAGCAGUAGGGAAUCUUCCACAAUGGACGCAAGUCUGAUGGAGCAACGCCGCGUGAGUGAAGAAGGUUUUCGGAUCGUAAAGCUCUGUUGUUGGUGAAGAAGGAUAGAGGUAGUAACUGGCCUUUAUUUGACGGUAAUCAACCAGAAAGUCACGGCUAACUACGUGCCAGCAGCCGCGGUAAUACGUAGGUGGCAAGCGUUGUCCGGAUUUAUUGGGCGUAAAGCGAGCGCAGGCGGAAAAAUAAGUCUAAUGUGAAAGCCCUCGGCUUAACCGAGGAACUGCAUCGGAAACUGUUUUUCUUGAGUGCAGAAGAGGAGAGUGGAACUCCAUGUGUAGCGGUGGAAUGCGUAGAUAUAUGGAAGAACACCAGUGGCGAAGGCGGCUCUCUGGUCUGCAACUGACGCUGAGGCUCGAAAGCAUGGGUAGCGAACAGGAUUAGAUACCCUGGUAGUCCAUGCCGUAAACGAUGAGUGCUAAGUGU
This 743-nucleotide ribosomal RNA is filed under the name uncultured bacterium. RNAcentral describes it as "bacterial SSU rRNA". It matches the Rfam family "Bacterial small subunit ribosomal RNA", at positions 94 to 823 of the family's 1533-position model. The record is from RNAcentral.